This 468-nucleotide ribosomal RNA is filed under the name uncultured bacterium. Its description in RNAcentral is "partial 16S ribosomal RNA". It matches the Rfam family "Bacterial small subunit ribosomal RNA", at positions 28 to 507 of the family's 1533-position model. The record is from RNAcentral.
GACGAACGCUGGCGGCGGGCUUAACACAUGCAAGUCGAACGGAAAGGCCCUGCUUUGGGGGGGUGCUCGAGUGGCGAACGGGUGAGUAACACGUGAGUAACCUGCCCUUGACUGUGGGAUAACUUCAGGAAACUGGGGCUAAUACCGGAUAGGAGCUCCUGCUGCAUGGUGGGGGUGGGAAAGUUUCGGCGGUUGGGGAGGGACUCGCGGCUUAUCAGCUUGUUGGUGGGGUAGUGGCUUACCAAGGCUUUGACGGGUAGCCGGCCUGAGAGGGUGACCGGCCACGCUGGGCCUGAGAUACGGCACAGACUCCUCCGGGACGCAGCAGUGGGGAAUAUUGCACUAUGCGCGGAGGCCUGAUGCAGCAACGCCGCGUCCGGGAUGACGGCCUUCGGGUUGUAUUCCGCUUUCGCCUGUGCCGAAGCGUGAGUGACGGUAAUGGGUAAAGAAGCCCCGGCUAACUACGUG